AACGAACGCUGGCGGCACGUUUUAAGCAUGCAAGUCGAAUGGCAGUGGGGGCAACCCCAUGAGAAUGGCGAACGGGUGAGUAACACGUAGGUGAUCUGCCUGACGGAUGGGGAUAGCUUGUGGAAAUACAGGGUAAUACCGAAUGAGCUGACGAGACUUUGGUUUUGUUAGUAAAGGUGCUACGGCACCGCCGACAGAGGAGCCUGCGGCUGAUUGGCUAGUUGGUGGGGUAAAGGCCUACCAAGGCGACGAUCAGUAGCCGGCCUGAGAGGGUGUACGGCCACACUGGAACUGAGACACGGUCCAGACUCCUACGGGAGGCAGCAGCUAAGAAUCUUCCGCAAUGGGCGAAAGCCUGACGGAGCGAUGCCGCGUGAUCGAUGAAGGUCGAGAGAUUGUAAAGAUCUUUUCUACAUGAGGAAUAAGUCUGGGAGGGAAUGCCUGGAUGAUGACGUUAGUGUAGGAAUAAGCCCCGGCUAAUUACGUGCCAGCAGCCGCCGUAA
RNAcentral lists this ribosomal RNA (503 nucleotides) under uncultured bacterium. RNAcentral describes it as "partial 16S ribosomal RNA". It matches the Rfam family "Bacterial small subunit ribosomal RNA", at positions 29 to 523 of the family's 1533-position model. The record is from RNAcentral.